This 73-nucleotide transfer RNA is filed under the name Harpegnathos saltator (Jerdon's jumping ant). It matches the Rfam family "tRNA". From Rfam's summary of the family: Transfer RNA (tRNA) molecules are approximately 80 nucleotides in length. Their secondary structure includes four short double-helical elements and three loops (D, anti-codon, and T loops). Lineage: Eukaryota; Metazoa; Arthropoda; Insecta; Hymenoptera; Formicidae. The record is from Rfam by way of RNAcentral.
CGUCAGUUAGCUCAGUGGUUUAGAGCAGUCGCCCGGCAAGCGAAAGAUCCGGGUUCGAUUCCCGGUCUAGUGA